RNAcentral lists this ribosomal RNA (216 nucleotides) under Glomeromycotina sp. RNAcentral describes it as "partial small subunit ribosomal RNA". The stretch from base 44 to 216 matches the Rfam family "Eukaryotic small subunit ribosomal RNA", at positions 690 to 864 of the family's 1831-position model. The record is from RNAcentral. Lineage: Eukaryota; Fungi; Glomeromycota.
GGGUCAGUAGGUUGGUCGUGCCACCGGUACGUACUGGUCUCACUGAUUCCUCCUUCCUGAAGAACCGUAAUGCCAUUAAUUUGGUGUUGCGGGGAAACAGGACUGUUACUUUGAAAAAACUAGAGUGUUUAAAGCAAGCUAACGCUUGAAUACAUUAGCAUGGAAUAAUGAAAUAGGACGAUCGAUCCUAUUUUGUUGGUUUCCAGGAUUGACGUA